Molecule: small RNA, 237 nt
Filed under: Vigna angularis var. angularis
Lineage: Eukaryota; Viridiplantae; Streptophyta; Magnoliopsida; Fabales; Fabaceae
Description: Non-protein coding transcript
Source: RNAcentral
UAAUAACAUCUUUGGUGUGAAAGACUUUGUCAUGGAACCUUCUCAUUCUUCAGUUGUGGCAGCACGUUGGAAGCGGUUGAUGCGAUUGAUGGAUAAUCGUGCUAACCAUUCAUCACAAGAAAAACCAAGGGAAGUGUUCAACAUCUCAGAGAAUUCAAGUAAGGCACAAGUGACGAAUGAUGGGAAUAACUCGACAACCUCUGAGCAAGAUAACACGCAUAACUCACAAGGUAAUGA